CAAAGAAGGACACCCAGAGAGGGGCAGCAGAGCUGACUGAUGUUUGAAGGACAGUCCAGAGUGAAGAGAAUAGAACAGAGCUUAUUAUCUGACAUUGGACAAGCGUUAAUCACUUUCUAGGCAGUUCCAAUCUUGGGCAUAGAGAGUGCAAAGCCACAAAAUGUAAACCAACUCAUAACAACCUUCUUGCUCCUUGUUGGCACACAGUGAGGGCCAGUCCACCAGUCCCACCUCUUCCGAUUCUCAGGUUGAGACCCGGUUGAUGUUUGGCAGCUGUACCAGAUGUUUCUUGGUUUCAUACAAAAGGUUCAAGACGUAGCGAGCAUGGAGCUGCUACUGGGAGGAAGAGGAGGGAAGGAAGAAAACAACACUGAUAUUCGUGAGGGAAAAUGGUCCUUACCUUUACUGCUUAACAACCCCCAUCACCUAAGACCCCAAAAGUAACCCCAGU
Molecule: long non-coding RNA, 451 nt
Filed under: Homo sapiens (human)
Lineage: Eukaryota; Metazoa; Chordata; Mammalia; Primates; Hominidae
Description: HSALNT0073878
Source: RNAcentral